UCCUUCAUUCCACCGGAGUCUGUCUCAUACUAAUCAGAUUUCAGUGGAGUGAAGCACA
This 58-nucleotide microRNA precursor is filed under the name Gekko japonicus. RNAcentral's name for it is "Gja-Mir-205-P4_pre stem-loop". It matches the Rfam family "mir-205 microRNA precursor family", at positions 9 to 68 of the family's 75-position model. The record is from RNAcentral. Lineage: Eukaryota; Metazoa; Chordata; Lepidosauria; Squamata; Gekkonidae.